UCUGAAAGCUCUGCUGGUUUCGUGUUCAUAGGAAAAUGUAGCUGUCUCUGUGUUACAGGCGAGUCCAUCUCCCAUCGCAUUGACUUGAGCUGGGGACAACAUCACUGAACAGAAAUGACCUGUUACGAGAAAGUGCCCUUCAUUGAAAAUGGCCACACACAACCCAGAGAAGUUUCUCCAGUUAGUGCCUUACUUUGAUCCUAUACUAUUAAGCACUUGUGAUCUUUUGCCAGUGUUUAGCAAUCCUUAAAUCCUGGCCAGGGUUACCAAAUCAAUGCCAUUCUCUUUACUAUUUCAAACACACUUAUGGAGAUGAAAGAUAAAUGUAUAAACACUGCUUUUCAAGCCAAGAGGCAGAGCCACAAUAGCUCACAACAUAAAAGACGGCAAGUGUUGGGUGAAUGAGUGUUUUUCUUGCAGUCGGAAGCAGC
Molecule: long non-coding RNA, 431 nt
Organism: Oreochromis aureus
Lineage: Eukaryota; Metazoa; Chordata; Actinopteri; Cichliformes; Cichlidae
Source: Ensembl